Molecule: transfer RNA, 69 nt
Filed under: Ictidomys tridecemlineatus (thirteen-lined ground squirrel)
Lineage: Eukaryota; Metazoa; Chordata; Mammalia; Rodentia; Sciuridae
Description: Spermophilus tridecemlineatus (thirteen-lined ground squirrel) tRNA
Rfam family: tRNA
About the family: Transfer RNA (tRNA) molecules are approximately 80 nucleotides in length. Their secondary structure includes four short double-helical elements and three loops (D, anti-codon, and T loops).
Source: Rfam by way of RNAcentral
GGGGUUAUAGCUCAGUGGUAGAGUUCUUGCCUUGCAUGCAUGAGGCCCUGGGUUCGGUCCCCAGCACCA